RNAcentral lists this ribosomal RNA (472 nucleotides) under uncultured bacterium. RNAcentral describes it as "partial 16S ribosomal RNA". It matches the Rfam family "Bacterial small subunit ribosomal RNA", at positions 28 to 523 of the family's 1533-position model. The record is from RNAcentral.
GACGAACGCUGGCGGCGUGCUUAACACAUGCAAGUCGAACGGUAAGGCCCUUCGGGGUACACGAGUGGCGAACGGGUGAGUAACACGUGGGUGAUCUGCCCUGCACUUCGGGAUAAGCCUGGGAAACUGGGUCUAAUACCGGAUAGUCCCUAUACCGUAAUGGUAUAGGGUAAAGCUUUUGCGGUAUGGGGGGAACCUGCGGCCUAUCAGCUAGUUGGUGAGAUAAAGGCCCACCAAGGCAAUGACGGGUAGCUGGUCUGAGAGGACGAUCAGCCUCGCUGGGACUGCGACACGGCCCAGACUCCUACGGGAGGCAGCAGUGAGGAAUGUUCCACAAUGGGCGAAAGCCUGAUGGAGCAAUACCGCGUGCAGGAUGAAGGCCUUCGGGUCGUAAACUGCUUUUUAUAGGGAGCAACUAUGAGUGUACUUAUAGAAUAAGUCACGGCUAAUCACGUGCCAGCCGCCGCUGUAA